Zingiber officinale is the source of this 912-nucleotide long non-coding RNA. RefSeq lists it as uncharacterized. Lineage: Eukaryota; Viridiplantae; Streptophyta; Magnoliopsida; Zingiberales; Zingiberaceae. The record is from RefSeq and is a predicted model, not a curated record. The transcript is spliced from 4 exons.
CCCAAAACCCGUUCAAGCCCAAACUUUACCAAGCGCCUUCGUCUCCAUCGCCAAACGAUUCCUCUUCCCCUCUUCCUCUCUUCAUCACCAAAAUAUUCACUGCCUUUGUCUUCACGGAGCCUAGAACGCUCGUGAGGUGGGCUGCUCGCGAGGCGGGCUUCUUGCAGCGGCCGUUCGCUGCUCAACCUGGAGUAGCGAUAGGGGAGGAAGAGAAGCGUAUCCUGGCCACGGUGACCUACCGAUCCAGCAUGGGCCCUUCCGUCGUAGUUUGUUGCAGGCUCGCAGUUGGGAACACUGAAAUCACUCAUCGAUGAGGAUAAAGGAAGGGGGAAGGACAUGGAUGAUGGCCCUGACGGUGGCGGGCAACUUCGUGCUAUUUUUCUUCUUGAUGCCACUUCUGGCAUCGAUUCCGGCUUGGGCGAUGGGGCUGCCGCUGGUGUUGGGGGCGUGCUGAUGAUGAAGAUGGUAGUGGAGGUGGAAUGGGAGAACAUGAGGGAAGAGCCAUCUCCGCCUUCAUCACCAUCAUUUUGAUACUCCUCACCUACUCAAUUACGUACGACAUCAUCGGUGGCAUUGCCACCUACAUCGUCCUCCGCCUUUGCGAAUACAUCUGCUCUGUUCUCAUCAAGAGCUUCCAUCUUCUCCGCAAUAGCUUUGCUUUAUUACCUUGUUCGAUCAAUGUGGAUGGUUGAGACCAAAGAUGGUUAUCUUUUGUCCAUUCAACAUGUUCAUCAUGGGAAAAAUACUUUGAAAGAAAGACAUGACCCUCCGGUUUUCCUCCAACAUGGUCUUUUCAGGACUCUGAUUCUAGACGAGCGUCUCGACGUUGGAUUUGGCUUGAUUAAAUCUUCUAUUUGAGAUAAAGGAAAAGCUAAAGUAUGAAAGGAAGGCGACAAGGUGGUGGUGGUGAUG